This is a non-coding RNA of Myotis lucifugus (little brown bat), 277 nucleotides long. The record is from Rfam. Lineage: Eukaryota; Metazoa; Chordata; Mammalia; Chiroptera; Vespertilionidae.
GUAAGGAGAUCUGGCUGCAAAAUCUGUUAGCCCAUUGAUCUCCAGGGUUGAUUUGGCUAAUCUGGCUGGCUAGGUGAGUCUCCCCUUCCUUCCUCACCGAUGUGUGCCCCUCCUGAAGCUGCACACUUUGUUGAAGAGGAUUACCUUCCCCAAUAGAGCAGAGUACCAUUUCUCUACUAGAAUUUUCAAAUAAACUCUCAAAAGCUGUUAUUUAAAAAAUGGAACUUGUCUCAUAUGCGAGCCCAAGAUCUCUAUUGCUUUUAAUCUACACAUGCAU